GCCGGUGUGUCGGAACUGGCAGACGAGACAGACUCAAAAUCUGUUAUCCGUAGGGGUGUGUGGGUUCGAGUCCCACCACCGGCACCA
RNAcentral lists this transfer RNA (87 nucleotides) under Helcococcus sp. RNAcentral describes it as "tRNA-Leu". It matches the Rfam family "tRNA". Rfam says of the family: Transfer RNA (tRNA) molecules are approximately 80 nucleotides in length. Their secondary structure includes four short double-helical elements and three loops (D, anti-codon, and T loops). Lineage: Bacteria; Bacillati; Bacillota; Tissierellia; Tissierellales; Peptoniphilaceae. The record is from RNAcentral.